UACGAAGGGGGCUAGCGUUGCUCGGAAUCACUGGGCGUAAAGCGCACGUAGGCGGAUUGUUAAGUCAGGGGUGAAAUCCUGGAGCUCAACUCCAGAACUGCCUUUGAUACUGGCGAUCUCGAGUUCGGGAGAGGUGAGUGGAACUGCGAGUGUAGAGGUGAAAUUCGUAGAUAUUCGCAAGAACACCAGUGGCGAAGGCGGCUCACUGGCCCGGUACUGACGCUGAGGUGCGAAAGCGUGGGGAGCAAGCAGG
RNAcentral lists this ribosomal RNA (253 nucleotides) under uncultured bacterium. Its description in RNAcentral is "partial 16S ribosomal RNA". It matches the Rfam family "Bacterial small subunit ribosomal RNA", at positions 524 to 776 of the family's 1533-position model. The record is from RNAcentral.